This 30-nucleotide non-coding RNA is filed under the name Rattus norvegicus (Norway rat). The record is from RNAcentral. Lineage: Eukaryota; Metazoa; Chordata; Mammalia; Rodentia; Muridae.
UAAGAAGUCCCCUUCAGAGAUGCAAAUGUC